CAAAAACCAAAAAAUUGUGGAAAGGGGGUACCCAAAGUGGUCUAUUAAGAACUGUGGUAGGUGAGUAAUGUCCCCCACUAGAAAGGAGAGGGCAAGGCUGGUGCCAGCCGCCGCGGUAAAACCAGCUCUUCAAGUGGUCGGGAUAAUUAUUGGGCUUAAAGUGUCCGUAGCCGGUUUAGUAAGUUCCUGGUAAAAUCGGGUAGCUUAACUAUCUGCAUGCUAGGAAUACUGCUAUACUAGAGGGCGGGAGAGGUCUGAGGUACUACAGGGGUAGGGGUGAAAUCUUAUAAUCCUUGUAGGACCACCAGUGGCGAAGGCGUCAGACUGGAACGCGCCUGACGGUGAGGGACGAAAGCCAGGGGAGCGAACCGGAUUAGAUACCCGGGUAGUCCUGGCCGUAAACGAUGCAUACUAGGUGAUGGCACGGCCAUGAGCCAUGUCAGUGCCGUAGGGAAACCGUUAAGUGUGCCGCCUGGGAAGUACGGUCGCAAGGCUAAAACUUAAAGGAAUUGGCGGGGGA
This 520-nucleotide ribosomal RNA is filed under the name uncultured archaeon. Its description in RNAcentral is "bacterial SSU rRNA". It matches the Rfam family "Archaeal small subunit ribosomal RNA", at positions 351 to 875 of the family's 1478-position model. The record is from RNAcentral.